Long non-coding RNA from Larimichthys crocea (large yellow croaker), 215 nucleotides. RefSeq lists it as uncharacterized. The transcript has 2 exons. The record is from RefSeq and is a predicted model, not a curated record. Lineage: Eukaryota; Metazoa; Chordata; Actinopteri; Sciaenidae.
AGGACAGGACUGCUGCUUUUAACUAUCUGCUGGGCAGGUGUUGAUGGUCAGACUCUGACAGAAUCUGAACCAGCGAUUAAAAGGCCUGGAGAAUCUCACAGAUUGACCUGUACAACAUCUGGAUUCACAUUCAGUGGCUACUGGAUGCACUGGGCUCGACAGGCUCCUGGAAAAGGACUGGAGUGGGUUGCUACCAUCAGCACUGGCAGUAGCAG